GUCCCUGUAGCGCAAUGGAUAGCGCGUUGGACUUUUAAUCCGUAGGUCGUGUGUUCGAGUCUCACCUGGGACG
Trichonephila clavipes is the source of this 73-nucleotide non-coding RNA. The record is from the annotation of a GenBank genome assembly. Lineage: Eukaryota; Metazoa; Arthropoda; Arachnida; Araneae; Nephilidae.